AUUAGCCGACGGCGCCGUCUUGUCUCUCUCACUUUCUCUCCCGCACUUGCUUGCACUGCAGUGACCGCUUAGCACGACAGAAAGGAACGCGCCGCCGCCAAACAACAACACGGAACUUUCUCUCACUCAAGCGACACACGCGUACCUCAGGGGAACUCCCCACCCCACAUCCCACUGCCUCCCGCCAACAAACAGCAGCAACACAUCACCAUCAUCCACAUACAGCCUUCGAAAAGCGAGCGAACAAGAGAGAAUACGUCAUACACACACACACACACACACACAUACAGCGCACUGCAUAGGGUAUCGCAACGGUAAGCGCACCCCUCCAACACGCAAACUCAUCUGGGCGCAUACAUACGUCUUCGCCACUGCACCAGUCUCUUCCCUCCACCCUCUCCUCCACCCUCUUCUCCAUAGAGCCGCACACUCGUACUCGUAGACGCAGAUCCCGUCAUGCUGCGCCGUAGCUUCACGCUUCGUCGGGCGAGCCCCUUCUCACUCUUCCAGAAGCACCUGGGCGAGACUGGCGUGCUUAAGGGCGUUAAGAACCCUACGAGGAAGUCGGCACAGAUGUACAGUAAGCUCUCUACGCCGGAGCGGAAGAUGUUCGAGGAGCGCGCGCGUCGUGUAACGUACCCUGCCCUCGACGCGUAUAACCGCUUCCAAAAGGAGUACGCGCCCCGCUUCCUGCACCUGCCCAUGAAGCAGCGCCAGCGCAAGGUGGCCCAGCUGUGGGCGGAGUUGAAGAAGAACGGGACGGUGAAGAUCCCCAAGAGCGCCAAGCGCAAGAUCAGGAAGGUGGCAAAGAAGACGAAGCCAAGGCGGUCGGUGACGAAGACGGCCAAGAAGAAGUCGGCCAAGUAGAUCACUACCUGAGGUGAUGCGUGCUUUCCGCGCUCGUUUUUCUUUCCCAUAGAACUGCAGCCGAGGACAGGCGGGCGAGUUUGGCGAGGAGGAGGGUGUGAGCUGACGUGAGGUGAGGCGUGCCCCAAGAUGCGCUGAGCCCUGCUUGCGCACGUGUGCAUUGGCUGCUUUCUGUUCGUGCUUCAAGCGAGACCACAUACGCAACCGAAGCUGUUGAACGGUUGCUGCACAUCGUCGCACUCGGCCAAUCGCCCGUGCCCUUCGCCCUUCCCUUCUCCCUAGAUCGCCGUUUGCUUGACUCACACACACCCUGCACACAUCCAUUUAAUAGACGAGCGAAGAGCGUACCGACAGGGCCGCCGCGGUAUCCGGUGUGUCUCCUGCACUCACUCCUCCCCGCUUUUCCCGUUUCUCUUUACCCAGCCCGCUCUGUUGUGAGGCUGACGCGUGCGUGUGGGCACGGGAGAGCGCGGGGAGAUGGUAUUUGGAGUAGACGGUCACCUGGAAGCUGCCCAGAGAAGUGAUGAGCGUUUUGCCCUGUUUCGCUGCGUUUUGAUGCCGUGCGCGUGCCUGUGCGGAGGCGGUGCUCUGCUCCGCUCGCCGCUGUUAUCCCUUCCUCCGUUCCCGCCUCAUUUGCCCAUCCCGCCCGCUCCCUCCCUCUCUUUGUACGUUUUCGGUGCUCGCGGGUGUGUGCCUGUCUGCGCCGGCGAUCUUCAGUGCGACUUUCCUUUUUUUUUUCCGGCUUUUUCCUCCCGAGCGACGCGCCGUGACCCACACACUGUGAGGCUCAGCAGCGAGGUGAAGACAACAAACGAGCACAGAAAAUGGCGCCGGUGGAGCGCGCAUUCUUGGCGAGCGCGCGCGUGUGGGCGGGCUGAUGCCAUGAUUUGAUGGGCGCCUCAUCUUGGGGUGGGGGCGGGGGUGGGCAAUGGACCACAUCUACACCGCACCUAAGCACACGGGGUGCUCUUCGCUGUCAAGUGCGCACAGAGAUCUCCCUUCCGGCUAUCUUUACGUCGGCAUCUGCGACUCGGUUCGCUGUGCAUUCUCUCGUCUUAUAGAAGUGUCCUUAGGUGGACCGAUGCCUCGCCUCACCGCGGCGACCGACUGUGGCACGCAAGCGUCGCAGACGCCCGAUUUGUUGAGGCUUUGUUGGCCAUGCUGCGUCUCCCUCGCCUUUCCGAAUGAGCCGCCGCACUUCUCUGCUUCUUUUUCGUCACGCCCCUCGCCUUUCUUGCCAACCAUAAACACAACGCUUGUGCACAAUGCGUUUGUGCCCAUCGCAUACUCACUCGUGCCCCCACCCCCGAUUUCCUUUUCGCCGUCUCUUGCACGUGUCGGCGCGUCGGAUCGUUCUGCUGCCGCCGCCGACCUCCUCCCGUCUCCCUCCUCGCCUCUGUCUCUCGCUUCUGCGAGGCCCUCGGCAG
This 2294-nucleotide unclassified non-coding RNA is filed under the name Leishmania donovani. Its description in RNAcentral is "gene:LdHU3.32.5060(CDS-product:kinetoplast-associ ated_protein_3_putative)". Lineage: Eukaryota; Euglenozoa; Kinetoplastea; Trypanosomatida; Trypanosomatidae. The record is from RNAcentral.